Molecule: transfer RNA, 72 nt
Filed under: Felis catus (domestic cat)
Lineage: Eukaryota; Metazoa; Chordata; Mammalia; Carnivora; Felidae
Rfam family: tRNA
About the family: Transfer RNA (tRNA) molecules are approximately 80 nucleotides in length. Their secondary structure includes four short double-helical elements and three loops (D, anti-codon, and T loops).
Source: Rfam by way of RNAcentral
GCCUGGGUGGCUUAGUUGGUUAAGCGUCUGACUUCAUCUCACGGUUUGUGGGUUCGAGCCCCGCAUCAGGCU